UCUCCUUUCUUUGCCCCAGCUAUCUAAGGGCUUGGGUCUUUUGGCCCAGCCUAAACAGAGGGGGUAUUUAAGCCCUAUUCCCUUCUCUCCCCUUUCUCUCUCUCUCUCUAAUUCCUUUCUUCCUCCUGUUUGUAAUUAAACUCUAUAAAAGGCUGACGGCUGACUUGAGUUUUCAUUUAGGAAUUACAUAGCUGAAUUCCUUGGUGACCUUAAAUUAAUAUAUAUCAGUCUUUUAAAGUGAUUUCCUUGUCACAUUGGAGAGGUGGUGCUUUGAGAGUCGGCUCUGAAGGAAGCUGGAGGUGGAGGCCCCGGAGACUGUUUCUCCAUUUUGGUCACGUGAGUAAUAGGGACUGAUCUCCUUUCUUUGCCCCAGCUAUCUAAGGGCUUGGGUCUUUUGGCCCAGCCUAAACAGAGGGGGUAUUUAAGCCCUAUUCCCUUCUCUCCCCUUUCUCUCUCUCUCUCUAAUUCCUUUCUUCCUCCUGUUUGUAAUUAAACUCUAUAAAAGGCUGACGGCUGACUUGAGUUUUCAUUUAGGAAUUACAUAGCUGAAUUCCUUGGCGACCUUAAAUUAAUAUAUAUCAGUCUUUUAAAGUGAUUUCCUUGUCACAAUAUGGACCCGUUGUGGCAGAGUAUAUAAAGGCAGAUCUAGGACUUUGGAGGAGACCAUUUGAGAACCCAGGGAACUUCUUUGAAAACUAUUUUUUUAUAUUCUAUGAGUAGCUAUGUGGGACAGUAGAUAGAAUGGUGGGCCUGGAGUCAGGAAGACCUAAUUUCAAAUGUGACCUCAGAUGCUUACUAACCAUUUGACCCUGAGCAAGUAGUCUAACCCUAUUUGCCCCAGUUUUUUUUUUUUUUUUUUUUUAAUUGCAUGCCCAAUUCACUGUCUGCUCUUUCUCUAUUUUACUGAUGCAAUCAUUUUUAGAGACAUAAAUUUUCCUCUAACUACUGCUUUAGCUGCACCCUGCAAAUUUUGGUAUGUUGUCUCAUUGUUGUCAGUAUCUUUAAUGAAAUUGUUAACUGGAACUGGUUUCCCCCUGCCUAUCUUAAUAUCUUUAUUGUAGGACAGAGGUGAAGGGAUAUGUAUAUUCAGAAAUAAUGUAAUAUAAAAACCAAAGGCAGUAUUAAAAUCCCAUUCAAGUUCAAGUUAUGAAAAUUAUUUUAAGGUAAAAAUUUAUUUGUCAAGAAAAUAUACAAAUAGCAUUAAAUAUAAUACAAAGAACCACUAAUUCACACAUUCAGCACACUUCCUAAGUUUCCACCAUACUCCUAAGCAUUUAGCCAAGCUAAUCAGGUUAUUAUUACUCCCUCAACAGGUUCUUACCAUGACUUGAGGAUAAUUUAAAUUCCAUAUGCCUUAAGACAUUUCUCAGACGCCCUUCUCUCCCCU
RNAcentral lists this long non-coding RNA (1387 nucleotides) under Monodelphis domestica (gray short-tailed opossum). Its description in RNAcentral is "lncRNA (ENSMODG00000046324.1)". The record is from RNAcentral. Lineage: Eukaryota; Metazoa; Chordata; Mammalia; Didelphimorphia; Didelphidae.